This 241-nucleotide ribosomal RNA is filed under the name Candidatus Anaeromassilibacillus stercoravium. RNAcentral describes it as "partial 23S ribosomal RNA". It matches the Rfam family "Bacterial large subunit ribosomal RNA", at positions 2685 to 2925 of the family's 2925-position model. Lineage: Bacteria; Bacillati; Bacillota; Clostridia; Eubacteriales; Acutalibacteraceae. The record is from RNAcentral.
GAGAGGACCGGGAUGGACGCACCUCUGGCGCACCAGUUGUUCCGCCAGGAGCACAGCUGGGCAACUAUGUGCGGAUCGGAUAAACGCUGAAAGCAUCUAAGCGUGAAGCCGACUCCAAGAUAAGAUAUCCCAUAGCGUAAGCUAGUAAGGCCCCUUGAAGACUACAAGGUUGAUAGGCUGCGUGUGUAAGCAUGGUAACAUGUUCAGCUUGGCAGUACUAAUAGGCCGAGGGCUUGACCAU